AGAGUUUGAUCCUGGCUCAGGACGAACGCUGGCGGCGUGCCUAAUACAUGCAAGUCGAGCGGACAGAUGGGAGCUUGCUCCCUGAUGUUAGCGGCGGACGGGUGAGUAACACGUGGGUAACCUGCCUGUAAGACUGGGAUAACUCCGGGAAACCGGGGCUAAUACCGGAUGGUUGUUUGAACCGCAUGGUUCAAACAUAAAAGGUGGCUUCGGCUACCACUUACAGAUGGACCCGCGGCGCAUUAGCUAGUUGGUGAGGUAAUGGCUCACCAAGGCAACGAUGCGUAGCCGACCUGAGAGGGUGAUCGGCCACACUGGGACUGAGACACGGCCCAGACUCCUACGGGAGGCAGCAGUAGGGAAUCUUCCGCAAUGGACGAAAGUCUGACGGAGCAACGCCGCGUGAGUGAUGAAGGUUUUCGGAUCGUAAAGCUCUGUUGUUAGGGAAGAACAAGUACCGUUCGAAUAGGGCGGUACCUUGACGGUACCUAACCAGAAAGCCACGGCUAACUACGUGCCAGCAGCCGCGGUAAUACGUAGGUGGCAAGCGUUGUCCGGAAUUAUUGGGCGUAAAGGGCUCGCAGGCGGUUUCUUAAGUCUGAUGUGAAAGCCCCCGGCUCAACCGGGGAGGGUCAUUGGAAACUGGGGAACUUGAGUGCAGAAGAGGAGAGUGGAAUUCCACGUGUAGCGGUGAAAUGCGUAGAGAUGUGGAGGAACACCAGUGGCGAAGGCGACUCUCUGGUCUGUAACUGACGCUGAGGAGCGAAAGCGUGGGGAGCGAACAGGAUUAGAUACCCUGGGUAGUCCACGCCGUAAACGAUGAGUGCUAAGUGUUAGGGGGUUUCCGCCCCUUAGUGCUGCAGCUAACGCAUUAAGCACUCCGCCUGGGGAGUACGGUCGCAAGACUGAAACUCAAAGGAAUUGACGG
Molecule: ribosomal RNA, 928 nt
Filed under: Bacillus subtilis
Lineage: Bacteria; Bacillati; Bacillota; Bacilli; Caryophanales; Bacillaceae
Description: bacterial SSU rRNA
Rfam family: Bacterial small subunit ribosomal RNA
Source: RNAcentral